Molecule: ribosomal RNA, 355 nt
Filed under: uncultured Racocetraceae
Lineage: Eukaryota; Fungi; Glomeromycota; Glomeromycetes; Diversisporales; Gigasporaceae
Description: SSU rRNA
Rfam family: Eukaryotic small subunit ribosomal RNA
Source: RNAcentral
AGCAGCCGCGGUAAUUCCAGCUCCAAUAGCGUAUAUUAAAGUUGUUGCAGUUAAAAAGCUCGUAGUUGAAUUUCGGGGUUCUACCGUUGGUCGGGCUAUUGUCUGUACUGGCGUGUAGAAUUUCUACCUUCUGGGGAACUAUCAUGUUAUUUAUUUAGCGUGGUAGGAAACCAGGACCUUUACCUUGAAAAAAUUAGAGUGUUCAAAGCAGGCUUAUGUCUGAAUACAUUAGCAUGGAAUAAUAGAAUAGGACGUGUGGUUUUAUUUUGUUGGUUUCUAGGACCGCCGUAAUGAUUAAUAGGGACAGUCGGGGGCAUCAGUAUUCAAUUGUCAGAGGUGAAAUUCUUGGAGUUAU